Molecule: long non-coding RNA, 2939 nt
Filed under: Sus scrofa (pig)
Lineage: Eukaryota; Metazoa; Chordata; Mammalia; Artiodactyla; Suidae
Description: lncRNA (ENSSSCG00030043535.1)
Source: RNAcentral
GCCAUUAUUCUUUAUUCAGAAUAAAAUUCAAAAAUAUAGAGAUAAACAGAAAAAUCACCUUUUGCGAAUAGUCUGUUUAAUGGAGGCUUUGCGAUUACAAUAAUCAUUACCUUCUAACAUUAAAAUGUAAGGAUGCCAACAAUAAAUCAAACCAUUAUAGAGGUUUCAGAGAGCAGGGAUCCACAGCAUCUCAAUGGACAGAUGAAGGGUCAAAUAGAGUAAGAGGAGCCCUUGGAAAGUGUCCUAGAAGUAGUGAGAAAGAGGAAAAACAGCAUUCUGACAUAGCUUUGCAAAGCUUCAUUUUCUUUCUUUCUUUUUUUUUUUUUUUUUUUUUUUUUUUUUUUUUCUUUUUUUGUCUUUUUGCUAUUUCUUGGGCCGCUCCCUCGGCAUAUGGAGGUUCCCAGGGCCAGGAGGAACCUUUCCUGGUUGCCAAGCUCCUGUUUUAGAGGGAAAGUGCAGACUGAAAACCACUGAGGCCACAUUUGAGUAACAAGGGAUUUAGAUGGGAAAUCUCAGGCAUUUCCCAGCUAAAGUCUCUUAUCAAGGUCAUAAACAUUGGAGAUUGUCUUGAGGCACCGAGCUAAUAUCACCGUAUUGGUGGUAGCAAACCAAAGUCAGGUCCACUCACCAUGCACAGUAAAGCCAAUCUACUGACACUAGGUUGUGGUGCCAGGAAAGUGUAGCAUUUAUUGCAGGGAGCAAAGCAGAGUCAGGCAGCUAACGCUUCAAAGACCUGCACUCCCUGAUGGCUUCCAGGCAAAGGCUUUUAAAGACCAGAUGAGGGAGGGGGAGUGUGGGGUGCGUGCUCAGCUCAUGGACAGUCUUCCGCUUGGUGGGUGGUGAGGUCAUGGGGAGUCAACAUCCUCAACUUUCCGGUUCCACCUGGUCUAGGGUCCAUGUGGGCAGCAUAGAGUUAACGUGUACCUGGCGGGGGUUUCUGCAAAACAGCUCCAAGGAUAUGGCUCGGGAUAUUAUCUCUAACCCUUGAGGAAGAACUAAAAGUACUUGGGGGUUCCCGCCAUGGCGCAGAGGAAAUGAAUCCGACUAGGAACCAUGAGGGUGUGGGUACAAUCCCCGUCUCGCUCAGUGGGUUAAGGAUCUGGCAUUGUCAUGAGCUGUGGUGUAGGUCGCAGAUGCGGCUCAGAUCCUGCAUUGCUGUGGCUGUGGCCGGCAGCUGUAGCUUCGAUUCAACCCCUGACCUGGGAAUCUCCACGUGCCAUGCGCGUGGCCCUAAAAGCAAAAAUAAAUAAAUAAAUAAAUAAAAAUAAUAAAAGUACCUGACUUUGUUUAAUGACUCGUCUGCUAUUAUUUUCUCUGGCUUGAAUGUUUUCCUUUCUGCAUUUUCUCACUUCUCUGAUUAAAUAUAUUUUUUAGAACUCAGGGAAGGCCUAGGUGGCUAACAUUUUCCUACAGCCAAGAGGUAGGUGGAGGGCAUGGAUGAGGAGGGAGGUCUGCCCUGGGAGGGCCUCAUAGGGUCCUGCUUGGUUACACUGGGUUCACUGUUUUUACAAAGAUUUAACAGGCAUAAAGUUUACAAAUGAUUAUGCAAAGCAGAGUUAAAAGUCAUACGACAGGUUCAGUUUGAAUGAUGGUCCUAAAACCAGAGCCUAAAUCUGAAGGUAAAGCUAAAUAGGUCAUCAGGUGAAAUUUGUUGUAACCAGUGGGUUAGUUCUCUGAUCUUGUGUAAUUGCGUUUUUAUCUCUCCAGAGCCAUUUAACCAUAUGUAACAGGUGGCAUUUGCUAUUUAAAAAAAAAAAUAGCUUCUCGUUCAGCAAGUAUGUAAUCAAGGGCUAUGUGAUUUUCCAAAACUACUUUAGCUAAUGAAUCAAGUGAUCUUUGUGGGGCUGUAGAAUUGGCUAGGUCUCCUAAUGCUAGGGAGAGAUUUUUGAUCAUGCAUUCAUUGGUUGUUUUUUUUUGUUUGUUUUGUGUUUUGUUUUUGGGCUGUGCCUGCGACAUAUAGAAGUCCCCAGGCUAGAGGUCAGAUGUGAGCUACAGCUGCCAGCCUACACCACAGCCACAGCAGACUGGGAUCUAAGCUGUGUCUGUGACUUAUACCACAGCUCACAGCAAUGCCAGAUUCCGGACCCAUUGAGCAAGGCCAGGGAUCGAACCCGCAUCCUCAUGGUUACUAGUUGGAUUUGUUUCUGCCGCACCACAACAGGAACUCUCGAUCACGCAUUCGUUGGAACUAAUACUGACCUAGAGGAGAAAGUCUCUCCCUGUGGAGGCAAACUCAGAGUCAGGUAGGCUUCCUGAAAAUUCUCUUUUAAGGGGGCGUGAUGGUGCGGACCAAUGGGAGAUUUCGAACAACUUUGUAGCUGAUGUCAAGGGGCUGCUGGGUGAAAUUAGCAGCAGGACUUGGGAUUAGUGAAAAAAUUCGUUAAAGGAUGAACUAAAGGGUCAUUAUUGUCGUGAAUGGAAUGAAGUUUCUGGUGGUCGACCCAACAAUUAGAUACGUUUCCCCCUUUCGUAAGAAGUUGAAAAUGCAGGUAAGAGCACUGUCUUUCUGGGAGGAGGUAGAGGAAAGGGUGAGAAGAAAUAGAAGGAAAAGAUCCAGUCACCUGGGGAAGGUGUCUCCUGCAGAUUUUACCUGCUUCAAUCCCUGGUCAAUCUGACUCAACUGUCUCCAGCACUUGUUAUAGGACUUCUUUAGCUGCGAGACCCCGAUCCAAGGCUGGAGUCUCUGAUAUUUUGCUGUCUUGGGUUAGUGAGGAAGACUCUGGGGUAUUCCUUUCCAAGGAAAUUCAAGGGUGGUCUUUGUUCCUAAUGAUUCCAAAUCAAAAGGGUGGGAGACAACUGGAAACAUUACUUUGGAGAUUGGCAGUCAGAUAAUUAAGGAAACCAGAAGAGUUUAGGAUCCAGUCUAGCUUACAGGUGUGUAACAGAACCUUCAAGGAAAUUACAGGACAAGAAUCUAAUAUCUACAAAGGUGCAAACAU